This 398-nucleotide ribosomal RNA is filed under the name Ornithinimicrobium humiphilum. RNAcentral's name for it is "bacterial SSU rRNA". It matches the Rfam family "Bacterial small subunit ribosomal RNA", at positions 386 to 796 of the family's 1533-position model. The record is from RNAcentral. Lineage: Bacteria; Bacillati; Actinomycetota; Actinomycetes; Micrococcales; Ornithinimicrobiaceae.
AUGCAGCGACGCCGCGUGCGGGAUGACGGCCUUCGGGUUGUAAACCGCUUUCAGCUCUGACGAAGCUUUUGUGACGGUAGGAGCAGAAGAAGCACCGGCUAACUACGUGCCAGCAGCCGCGGUAAUACGUAGGGUGCGAGCGUUGUCCGGAAUUAUUGGGCGUAAAGAGCUUGUAGGCGGCUUGUCGCGUCUGCUGUGAAAACCCGGGGCUUAACCCCGGGCUUGCAGUGGGUACGGGCAGGCUAGAGUGUGGUAGGGGAGACUGGAAUUCCUGGUGUAGCGGUGGAAUGCGCAGAUAUCAGGAGGAACACCGAUGGCGAAGGCAGGUCUCUGGGCCAUUACUGACGCUGAGAAGCGAAAGCGUGGGGAGCGAACAGGAUUAGAUACCCUGGUAGUCC